RNAcentral lists this non-coding RNA (26 nucleotides) under Mus musculus (house mouse). Lineage: Eukaryota; Metazoa; Chordata; Mammalia; Rodentia; Muridae. The record is from RNAcentral.
CAAGGACUUAGUUUGGCAGUUGGGAG